This 199-nucleotide ribosomal RNA is filed under the name uncultured bacterium. RNAcentral describes it as "partial 16S ribosomal RNA". It matches the Rfam family "Bacterial small subunit ribosomal RNA", at positions 328 to 539 of the family's 1533-position model. The record is from RNAcentral.
ACGCUCGACACCUACGGGAGGCAGCAGUGGGGAAUAUUGCACAAUGGGGGAAACCCGUGAUGCAGCGACGCCGCGUGGAGGAAGAAGGUCUUCGGAUUGUAAACUCCUGUUGUUGGGGAAAAAGAGGAUGGUACCCAACAAGGAAGUGACGGCUAACUACGUGCCGGCAGCCACGGUAAUCUGAGCGGGCUGGCAAGGC